Molecule: transfer RNA, 62 nt
Filed under: Hydropsyche gautamittra
Lineage: Eukaryota; Metazoa; Arthropoda; Insecta; Trichoptera; Hydropsychidae
Description: tRNA-Ser
Source: RNAcentral
GAAAUAUUAUUAAAAUUUAAACUUCUAAUUUAAAUAAAAGUGAAAUCAUCAUUUAUAUUUCU